This 495-nucleotide ribosomal RNA is filed under the name uncultured bacterium. Its description in RNAcentral is "partial 16S ribosomal RNA". It matches the Rfam family "Bacterial small subunit ribosomal RNA", at positions 28 to 507 of the family's 1533-position model. The record is from RNAcentral.
GACGAACGCUGGCGGCGUGCCUAAUACAUGCAAGUAGAACGCUGAAGGAGGAGCUUGCUCUUCUGGCUGAGUUGCGAACGGGUGAGUAACGCGUAGGUAACCUGCCUGGUAGCGGGGGAUAACUGUUGGAAACGAUAGCUAAUACCGCAUAACAGUAGAUGUUGCAUGAGAUUUAUUUAAAAGCUGCAAUUGAAUCACUACCAGAUGGACCUGCGUUGUAUUAGCUAGUUGGUGGGGUAACGGCUCACCAAGGCGACGAUACAUAGCCGACCUGAGAGGGGGAUCGGCCACACUGGGACUGGGACACGGCCCAGCAUACUACGGGAGGCAGCCGUAGGGGAUCUUCGGGGAUGGAAGGAAGUCUGAACGAUCAACGCCGCGUGAGUGCAUAAGGUUGUCGGAUCGUAAAGGUCUGUUGUGAGAGCAGAAUGAGUGUGAGAGUGGAAAGUUCAUAUUGUGACGGUAUCUUAACAGAAAGCGACGGCUAACUACGUG